CCUUACCAAUAAAAAAAGAUAUUUUGGCAAAAGUUAGUCAGGAAGAUUUGGCCCGAAAUAAAAGAAGCAAAGAGAUUUGAUAGGGAGAGAGUAUGAGAAUUCGGCCUAACAGAGAAAGGAAAAAUGAAAUUGGAAAAGAAGUAGAGAUGAAAGUAAAAGAGAGGGUCGGCUAUAGCAGAAAUGAUUAAAGAAGAGAUGAGUAGGAAGUUUCAAGCAGAGAAGAAACAAUAUUCGGUUUCUUUUGGAGAAAAGAAUCAAAACUAAAGCUGAAAAGGAGAGGCCAAAUGGCAAAAUACAGAAGAGCCAGCCAGGAAAACCACU
RNAcentral lists this long non-coding RNA (321 nucleotides) under Gossypium raimondii (Peruvian cotton). RNAcentral describes it as "long non-coding RNA (GRAI_LNC009259)". Lineage: Eukaryota; Viridiplantae; Streptophyta; Magnoliopsida; Malvales; Malvaceae. The record is from RNAcentral.